UUGCCUGGCGGCAGUAGCGCGGUGGUCCCACCUGACCCCAUGCCGAACUCAGAAGUGAAACGCCGUAGCGCCGAUGGUAGUGUGGGGUCUCCCCAUGCGAGAGUAGGGAACUGCCAGGCAUC
RNAcentral lists this ribosomal RNA (122 nucleotides) under Escherichia coli. RNAcentral also lists the same sequence under 3 other names. The record is from RNAcentral. Lineage: Bacteria; Pseudomonadati; Pseudomonadota; Gammaproteobacteria; Enterobacterales; Enterobacteriaceae.